This 224-nucleotide ribosomal RNA is filed under the name Funneliformis sp. Its description in RNAcentral is "partial 18S ribosomal RNA". It matches the Rfam family "Eukaryotic small subunit ribosomal RNA", at positions 548 to 774 of the family's 1831-position model. The record is from RNAcentral. Lineage: Eukaryota; Fungi; Glomeromycota; Glomeromycetes; Glomerales; Glomeraceae.
UUGGAGGGCAAGUCUGGUGCCAGCAGCCGCGGUAAUUCCAGCUCCAAUAGCGUAUAUUAAAGUUGUUGCAGUUAAAAAGCUCGUAGUUGAAUUUCGGGAUCAAUAUUUCGGUCAUGCCGUUGGUAUGCACUGUUAUCAUUGAUUUCUCACCUUCUAAAGAACCGUAAUGCCAUUAAUUUGGUGUUACGGGGAAUUAGGACUGUACCUUCGUAAAAUAAAGUAGU